GAGUUUGAUCGUGGCUCAGGACGAACGCUGGCGGCGUGCUUAACACAUGCAAGUCGAACGGUAAGGCUCCAGCUUGCUGGGGUACACGAGUGGCGAACGGGUGAGUAACACGUGGGUGACCUGCCCUGCACUUCGGGAUAAGCCUGGGAAACUGGGUCUAAUACCGGAUAGGACCGCACCGUGAGGGUGUGGUGGAAAGUUUUUUCGGUGUGGGAGUGGGCCCGGCGGCCUAUCAGCUUGUUGGUGGGGUAAGUGGCCUACCAAGGCGGCGACGGGUAGCCGGCCUGAGAGGGUGGACGGCCACAUUGGGACUGAGACACGGCCCAGACUCCUACGGGAGGCAGCAGUGGGGAAUAUUGCACAAUGGGCGGAAGCCUGAUGCAGCGACGCCGCGUGGGGA
RNAcentral lists this ribosomal RNA (400 nucleotides) under uncultured microorganism. RNAcentral describes it as "bacterial SSU rRNA". It matches the Rfam family "Bacterial small subunit ribosomal RNA", at positions 9 to 407 of the family's 1533-position model. The record is from RNAcentral.